GACGAACGCUGGCGGCGUGCUUAACACAUGCAAGUCGAACGGAAAGGCCCGGCUUUUGUGGGGUGCUCGAGUGGCGAAGGGGUGAGUAACACGUGAGUAACCUGCCCCUGACGGUGGGAUAACUUCAGGAAACUGGGGCUAAUACCGGAUAGGAUCUCCUGCUGCAUGGUGGGGGUUGGAAAGUUUCGGCGGUUGGGGAUGGACUCGCGGCUUAUCAGCUUGUUGGGGGGGUAGUGGAUUACCACGGCUUGGACGGGUAGCCGGCCUGGGAGGGUGACCGGCCACAUUGGGACUGAGAUACGGCCCAGCCUCCUACGGGACGCAGCAGUGGGGAAUAUUGCACAACGGGCGGAAGCAUGAUGUAGCAACGCCGCGUGCGGGAUAACGGCCUUCGCGUUGUAAACCGCUUUUGCCUGUGCCGAAGCGUGAGUGACGGUAAUGGGUAAAGAAGCACCGGCUAACUACGUG
This 468-nucleotide ribosomal RNA is filed under the name uncultured bacterium. Its description in RNAcentral is "partial 16S ribosomal RNA". It matches the Rfam family "Bacterial small subunit ribosomal RNA", at positions 28 to 507 of the family's 1533-position model. The record is from RNAcentral.